Molecule: ribosomal RNA, 497 nt
Filed under: uncultured bacterium
Lineage: Bacteria
Description: partial 16S ribosomal RNA
Rfam family: Bacterial small subunit ribosomal RNA
Source: RNAcentral
GAUGAACGCUGGCGGCGUGCCUAAUACAUGCAAGUCGAGCGAACGGACGAGAAGCUUGCUUUUCUGAUGUUAGCGGCGGACGGGUGAGUAACACGUGGAUAACCUACCUAUAAGACUGGGAUAACUUCGGGAAACCGGAGCUAAUACCGGAAUAUAUUUUGAACCGCAUGGUUCAAAAGUGAAAGACGGUCUUGCUGUCACUUAUAGAUGGAUCCGCGCUGCAUUAGCUAGUUGGUAAGGUAACGGCUUACCAAGGCAACGAUGCAUAGCCGACCUGAGAGGGUGAUCGGCCACACUGGAACUGAGACACGGUCCAGACUCCUACGGGAGGCAGCAGUAGGGAAUCUUCCGCAAUGGGCGAAAGCCUGACGGAGCAACGCCGCGUGAGUGAUGAAGGUCUUCGGAUCGUAAAACUCUGUUAUUAGGGAAGAACAUAUGUGUAAGUAACUGUGCACAUCUUGACGGUACCUAAUCAGAAAGCCACGGCUAACUACGUG